AAAGAAAGUAGCUGACAACUGACGAAGGGGGUUUAGGCUGGGCUGGAGUGAGAUCAGCUUAUGGGAAUAUGAAAAACACAGAGACACAGAACCAGAAUCUCAGCAUGCCUGAUUCAUAUGAAACUGAGUUUACAUGGUUUGUCUUAGUAACCUGUCAGAGAUGACCCAGCAUCCUUCACCCUAUCACAGAGAGGCCAGGUCUGGCUUUCUGAGGGAGAAAAGGAGGAAGGAUAAGACUGUUGGCCUGGAAAUUACAGAGGUCCAACUGGUAAAGCAGACCCUGUAA
Molecule: long non-coding RNA, 286 nt
Filed under: Phascolarctos cinereus (koala)
Lineage: Eukaryota; Metazoa; Chordata; Mammalia; Diprotodontia; Phascolarctidae
Description: lncRNA (ENSPCIG00000000753.2)
Source: RNAcentral